Molecule: ribosomal RNA, 1389 nt
Filed under: Triticum aestivum (bread wheat)
Lineage: Eukaryota; Viridiplantae; Streptophyta; Magnoliopsida; Poales; Poaceae
Description: partial small subunit ribosomal RNA
Source: RNAcentral
AUGGCCGCCAGCGUGCGGGAAGGUGCGGCGGCGGCGGCGGCCGCGGGGCACGCGGUGGACGAUUACGACGUCUCGGACGGCGAGAUGGACGUCGACGUCGACGUCGAGGCCGGCAGCGAGCUCCAGCACGCCGGCGGAGCCGGCGACGACGGCCGGAGGGACGGCGACGGCGACGACGAGUACGCGCUGCUCACCAGGAUAACUGACACAUCAGCAGCUGAAGCAAGGGCAGGAAAGGAUAUACAAGGUAUACCAUGGGAGAGGUUACAAAUCACCAGGCAGGAUUACAGAAAAGCUAGGUUGGAACAGUACAAGAACUAUGAGAACUUCCCUCAGUCCGGAGAGCUCAUGGAUAAGUUGUGCAAGCAAGUGGAGAGCAGCAGCAAGUACUAUGAAUUUCAAUACAACACUCGGAUAGUGAAACCCUCAAUUCUCCAUUUUCAGCUUCGGAAUUUGUUAUGGGCAACUUCAAAGCAUGAUGUUUAUUUCAUGUCGAAUUCCACAGUAGGCCACUGGUCGUCAUUGUCUCACAAAAUGACAGAUGUUCUUGAUUUCUCGGGGCAUGUUGCUCCAGCAAAGAAACACCCUGGCUGUGCACUAGAAGGGUUUACUGGCGUUCAAGUUAGCACACUUGCAGUAAAUGAGGGUUUAUUGGUCGCUGGUGGUUUUCAAGGAGAACUAGUUUGCAAGAGUCUAGGAGAACGUGAUGUUAAGUUCUGCACAAGGACUACUUUGAGCGACAAUGCUAUCACAAAUGCUAUGGAUAUACACAGAUCUACAAGUGGAAGCUUGCGCAUUACGGUAUCGAAUAAUGAUUCUGGUGUUCGUGAAUUUGACAUGGAAAGAUUUCAGCUCUUGAAUCACUUCCGUUUUAACUGGCCAGUGAAUCACACAUCUGUGAGCCCGGACAAGAAACUUUUGGCAGUAGUUGGAGAUGACCGGGAUGCUCUUCUUGUUGAUUCACGAAAUGGCAAGGUAACUUCUACCCUAGUUGGCCAUCUGGACUACUCGUUUGCCUCGGCGUGGCACCCAGAUGGUAUCACCUUCGCAACCGGAAACCAGGACAAGACCUGCCGGGUGUGGGACAUCCGGAACCCGUCGACCUCCCUUGCAGUCCUGAGGGGCAACAUCGGCGCAAUCCGGUGCAUCCGCUACUCCUCGGACGGGCGGUUCCUGCUCUUCUCGGAGCCCGCCGACUUUGUGCAUGUCUACAGCGCCGCCGAGUGCUACCGGAAGCGGCAGGAGAUCGACUUCUUCGGCGAGAUCUCAGGGAUCUCGCUCAGCCCGGACGACGAGUCCCUGUUCGUGGGGGUGUGCGACCGCGUCUACGCCAGCCUGCUGAAUUACAGGAUGGUACACGCCAACGGGUACCUGGACUCGUACAUGUAG